Molecule: transfer RNA, 71 nt
Filed under: Australolacerta australis
Lineage: Eukaryota; Metazoa; Chordata; Lepidosauria; Squamata; Lacertidae
Description: tRNA-Gln
Rfam family: tRNA
About the family: Transfer RNA (tRNA) molecules are approximately 80 nucleotides in length. Their secondary structure includes four short double-helical elements and three loops (D, anti-codon, and T loops).
Source: RNAcentral
UAGUAAGUAGUAUAAGGGUAUUACGGAGAGUUUUGGGGUCUCAAAUGCGGGUUCAAAUCCUGUUUUACUAG